RNAcentral lists this unclassified non-coding RNA (1474 nucleotides) under Hevea brasiliensis (rubber tree). Lineage: Eukaryota; Viridiplantae; Streptophyta; Magnoliopsida; Malpighiales; Euphorbiaceae. The record is from RNAcentral.
AUUUUGGGAUUCCUAAUCCUAGUACUAGUAGGACUAGUUAUUAUAAAAUAAAUAUCCAUGUCAUCUAGGUAUUUUAAUAGAAAUUAUUAUUGAUAUUGACAACUGGGAAUUAAUAAAAAAAUUUGAGAUUUGUUUAUCUUCCCUUUUGAGUGUUCUUUGUUUUCUACAUCACAUCCACAGUUGGGAAUUGAAGCCAAGGAAAUAUUCUGUACUAAACAUAAAUGAACAAUUAAACAUAAGUUAGAAUCAGAUGUCACUAUAUCUAUCAAGAAUUCAGAAACGUCCCUUCCUAAUUCGAGCAUAUGCUAUAGCUGCAACUGCAGCACCCCCCAAAUGUGCUGAACCUGAAAUAUUACUAUUUCCCUGGAAAAACAAUUUGACACCAAUCAAUAGUGAAGUCACGUUUUAGAUUGGUUGGAUUUAGUUGUUUCCAUAAAUACACGAUCACACAAAAAGAAAAGGUUAGUUGCAAAGAUGAUAACAAAGCCAAAGGAAGAAAAGUAACACACCUCUAAUAUCCUCAAUACAUCUUUCCCCAUUAAAAAGAUUCCCAGUAAGAUGGCAGGAACUGGUAUGAUAAAAUCCAAGUAAAGAGUGGAUCUUGGAUUCAAGAAUAUAUCCAGCAGCAUUAUAGCAUUGACAGCCCCACUAGCCCCCAAUCCUGGAGUUCUUGAAGGGUCCUUCACCCACAUUCCUUGUCCCUUUGUUGAUAAGGCCAUAAAGGCAUGGUGUCCCAAGUAGAACAGUGACCCGCCAAUUGCCCCAGCUAGAUACAACUUUAACAAGUACUCAGGUCCAAAAGUUCUUCCAAUAUUCAUCCCAAAGAAGUAAAGUCCAAUCAUGUUGGAUAUGAUGUGUUCAGUAUCAAUAUGACUGAAUGCAGAAGUAAUCAACGUAUGAACACGUCCACUUUUGAAAUUGUCCAAUGAAAUCAUAAAGUUGUUCACCAUAAAUUUUUUAUCAGCAAUUCGCCAUAACAUAAAGACACCAACAUUGGCUAAGAUCAAACCUAAAACCAUGUCAUUAGCUGAUAUCUGAUAGAACCAUGAUCCCCUGCUACGCCCAUAUGAACCAAAACCUUGAUUGAACCCAGAAUAUCCUCUGGCAAACCGUGCACUGAAAAUGCCAAAUUUGUAAUCAGCAAGCCCUUUGCUUGAGAACUUGAAAUGGGUAUUUGAUAAAUUUGACAUAAAUUUCUUCGAAAGCAAUGGGUUUGACAGAAAGCCAUGAACUUUCGGAGAAAGAGUAUGAUGAUAUUGGCAUGAAUGGGAGCUGUGGGUUCGGCUCAAUUGAGAAAAGCCGAAGAUGUAAUUUUGUUGCUGGUAGCUAUGGUGGGUUGGUUUGGCAAGAAAAGUGAAGGCAUUGUAAUAAGGAUGAGAAAGUGAAGGUGAAGAAUUUGUGCUGAUGGCGAGCUUUUUAGAGAAAUUUGAUGAAGCAAGCUUGAGAGAGAUAAGUCUCUGCAUUUUGUUUUUCC